UUCUCUCUCUUCCGACUCUUGCUAUUCACGCCAUUUACACUCUCUCUAUCAUUUCGUAUUCAUCUGGCUAUCACCAUUUUCAUACCAAGACUUCACCUUUAGCUUCCCAGGAAGGAGAUUUGUUGAUCAAGAUGAUGAGGAGAUGCUAGGAUAAGCUAUUAAGAAGGCUUUAUUUGGAUUUUGCUAGCUAAGAGGUUUGGAGUAGACUUCUCAUGAGAGCGCUAGCAUGGUUGACCUAGUAUCUUUCCUUUUCCUUAUGGACAGUUUUUUUUAUGAGACUUAGUAUGACAUGAUGGAUGUAUUUCAGACUUAAUUUGGGUGUAAUGUUGACUUUGGAUGUUUAGACUUGAUGAAUUUUGAAUA
Long non-coding RNA from Ipomoea triloba (trilobed morning glory), 363 nucleotides. RefSeq lists it as uncharacterized. NCBI's taxonomy places the organism in Eukaryota, Viridiplantae, Streptophyta, Magnoliopsida, Solanales, Convolvulaceae. The transcript is spliced from 3 exons. The record is from RefSeq and is a predicted model, not a curated record.